Molecule: long non-coding RNA, 868 nt
Filed under: Phoenix dactylifera (date palm)
Lineage: Eukaryota; Viridiplantae; Streptophyta; Magnoliopsida; Arecales; Arecaceae
Description: long non-coding RNA (PDAC_LNC014550)
Source: RNAcentral
GAGAGAGAGAGAGGAAGGAGACGAUAAGAGAAGGGGAAGGAAGGGAGGGGAGCGCUUGUUCAGGGGUGGGGAUGGACGGAUGAGAUGUGGGGAGGAGGUCGAGAUCGGAGCGUGCUGAGUGGUGGAGGAGACAUGACACGGAUCGCCGAAGUGGAUGGGAUGAGCAGUUGCCAUUCGUUUUGUUUUCUCUUUGUCGACCCUUAUCAUUGCUGGUAUGUUAUUAUUAUAAUAACUUGGUAAACAAAUGCCACCGAACUUUAAGGGAUUAACUUCAAAUGCCACCAGCGUCUUACAAAGCGCCGACUUACCCAGACCUAGUUUUUUUUUUUUUGUAUUUAUACAAUUUUAGUAGGAACAUAAAAAAUUAAAAUGCAGUACCUCCAGAAACGCUUUAGAGAGCUCCUUCUUUCCGACCCAUAAAGCAUCUUCUGAUUGGCUACAUAUGAGGCUAUCCAGUCCGAAGUCCUAUUAGCCUUUCUAUAUAUAUAUAUAUAUAUGUAGAUUGGACAACCACGCCACCACUAGAUCCAGCUAGGCCAAUAUAUUCAGAUAAUUUGCAGCACUUUUUCUAAAAUAUUAUUCAACAAUAUAAAUAAUGUCGAUUAUACGCCCGGUCCAAUACUGGAAUGAAAAUUUUGAGGAUGAAAAAAUACUUAUUAUAUUGGUGAUCAAUGAAAAGCAUGCUAAAGUGUAAGUGCUAGUUAUUAUCACUAUUUGCAUGGCAAACUAUUAGACAUGGUGAUUUAAAUGAUAAUUGUCAUGAUGCUUGUUCACGGCCAUCAUACUAUUGAGUAUUGACAAUUAAUAAAUAGUAUUAUUAUUUAUUGCUAUUCGUAUGGUAAAAUAUUGAAAUAUCCCCCCUCAAACA